RNAcentral lists this small RNA (295 nucleotides) under Phytophthora ramorum (sudden oak death agent). RNAcentral's name for it is "5' ureB small RNA". It matches the Rfam family "5' ureB small RNA". Lineage: Eukaryota; Oomycota; Peronosporomycetes; Peronosporales; Peronosporaceae. The record is from Rfam by way of RNAcentral.
CUUCAGUGCACAGUUGCGGACAGAUGAAGUGAACGUGGGCAUCGAAGCCACCAGCAGUCAGAAUCAAGCCUUCACCAGCGAUCACUUCCGUGUUCACACCCACAAUCAGGUUUGGCACGACCCCUUCCAUCACAUCCGGGUUGCCACCCUUGCCAAUACCCGCAAUCAAACCAUCCUUGAUACCCACAUCGGCCUUGUAGAUGCCCGUGUAGUCCAGAAUCAAAGCGUUAGUGAUGAUCGUGUCGACCACCUGGGCGGACGUUUUGCCAGACGCCUGGCCCAUGCCUUCACGCAG